RNAcentral lists this transfer RNA (76 nucleotides) under bacterium. Its description in RNAcentral is "tRNA-His". It matches the Rfam family "tRNA". Rfam says of the family: Transfer RNA (tRNA) molecules are approximately 80 nucleotides in length. Their secondary structure includes four short double-helical elements and three loops (D, anti-codon, and T loops). The record is from RNAcentral.
GUCGGCGUAGCUCAGAUGGAAGAGCAAGUGACCGUGGAUCACUAUGUCGCAGGUUCAAGUCCUGCCGCCGGCUCCA